GUGGGGAAUAUUGGUCAAUGGGGGAAACCCUGAACCAGCAACGCCGCGUGAAGGAAGAAGGCUUUCGGGUUGUAAACUUCUUUGACAGGGGACGAAACAAAUGACGGUACCCUGAAAACAAGCCACGGCUAACUACGUGCCAGCAGCCGCGGUAAUACGUAAGUGGCAAGCGUUGUCCGGAUUUACUGGGUGUAAAGGGCGUGUAGGCGGGACGGUAAGUCAGAUGUGAAAUGUAGGGGCUCAACCCAUGAACUGCAUUUGAAACUAUCGUUCUUGAGUGAUGGAGAGGCAGGCGGAAUGCCGUGUGUAGCGGUGAAAUGCGUAGAUAUACGGAGGAACACCAGUGGCGAAGGCGGCCUGCUGGACAUUAACUGACGCUGAGGCGCGAAAGCGUGGGGAGCAAACAGGAUUAGAAACCCGUGUAGUCC
This 428-nucleotide ribosomal RNA is filed under the name uncultured bacterium. RNAcentral's name for it is "partial 16S ribosomal RNA". It matches the Rfam family "Bacterial small subunit ribosomal RNA", at positions 354 to 796 of the family's 1533-position model. The record is from RNAcentral.